UGGGGAAUAUUGCACAAUGGGGGAAACCCUGAUGCAGCAACGCCGCGUGAGUGAUGAAGGUUUUCGGAUCGUAAAGCUCUGUCUUUGGGGAAGAUAAUGACGGUACCCAAGGAGGAAGCCACGGCUAACUACGUGCCAGCAGCCGCGGUAAUACGUAGGUGGCGAGCGUUAUCCGGAUUUACUGGGCGUAAAGGGAGCGUAGGCGGAUGAUUAAGUGGGAUGUGAAAUACCCGGGCUCAACUUGGGUGCUGCAUUCCAAACUGGUUAUGUAGAGUGCAGGAGAGGGGAGUGGAAUUCCGAGUGUAACGGUGAAAUGCGUAGAGAUUAGGAAGAACACCAGUGGCGAAGGCGACUCUCUAGACUGUAACUGACGCUGAGGCUCGAAAGCGUGGGGAGCAAACA
Molecule: ribosomal RNA, 402 nt
Filed under: uncultured prokaryote
Description: bacterial SSU rRNA
Rfam family: Bacterial small subunit ribosomal RNA
Source: RNAcentral